GCCAAUCGCAUUUUGAGGAUAAAUAAAUCUAAAACAAUCUAUUGAUUAUGAUGAAUGGAUGUCCUAUUUUUUUAUCCAUGAAGAAAAUAAUAACAUCUCGGCGACCAUCCAAGCUGUUGCUGAUCAGAUCAUCCAGUAAGUUAAACUGCUAAUAGAGAUAACUUCAAUUCAAUGUUGUUGCCAGAUAAUGCUGUGAGUGAAGAAACUGUAUCCUGCCAUCUACAUCAGAGCCACAUCUGUCAUUAUGGAUAAUAUUAUUGCUGCGUCCUAAGGUUCAGCUUGCAAAUAAACCCAUCAAGCAGAGGCGGUACACACAAACAAAAGGUGGACUCUUUGGUUUUUUAAAACGGAGCCCGAAAGCGUAUGAGCUAUUGCGCUACAUAUUUAUUUUGCCUAGUCAACGAUCAAGAAAAUGAAGGUAUUGAGUGAAAAAACUGCCGCAAUGAUACAGCCCCAAAUUUGAUUCCGGCCCAGUGUAUGGUUUUUUCAACUAAAGUUUUUUGUUAUUUUUGCCUCAAGAAUGUACUUAUUGUGAAUUUCUUUGUUAAUGGCUGUAUAGUUUUACUUGAGUCAAAGAAAAUCGUAGUUUUUGUAUAAACAAAUAAUUUGUAAAUCUAUAUUAGGGUACAUUUUAUUGUCGUCUUUUUUUUUCUUAGAAACUUGCAGUAGAUUAUUGAUGAUUAAACGAA
Molecule: long non-coding RNA, 689 nt
Organism: Ostrinia furnacalis (Asian corn borer)
Lineage: Eukaryota; Metazoa; Arthropoda; Insecta; Lepidoptera; Crambidae
Exons: 5
Source: RefSeq, a predicted model, not a curated record